RNAcentral lists this long non-coding RNA (948 nucleotides) under Lynx pardinus (Iberian lynx). Lineage: Eukaryota; Metazoa; Chordata; Mammalia; Carnivora; Felidae. The record is from RNAcentral.
GGCAUCUGGAGGGUCUGGCUGGGGAAGUGGAACCCUUGCUUUUCUUCAAGGGGGGACUCCCUCUUUGCUCCCCAGCUCAGUCUUCCCAUGACUACUGACACCUCCUCACCCCCUGGAGGUGACCCAUGUCGCUACAGAUCAGAUCCCCAAAUUUUCCUUUCAUAUGCCUACAUCUUUUUUUUCCCUAAGACUUUAUUUAUUUAUUUUUUUAUGUAAUCUCUACAGCCAACAUGGGGCUCGAACCUGCAUCUCUGAGAUCAAGAGACGUAUGCCCUACCGACUAAGCCCCCACACACCUACAUCUUUACACACUUACCCACAGAGACUGAGGCAUCUGGUCACAUUUGGGGGACACAGGUUUUGUUUUUUUAAUGUUUUUAUUUUUGAGAGAGACAGAGUGUGAGUGGGGGAGGGGCGGAGAGAGAGGGAGACACGGAAUCCAAAGCAGGCUCCAGGCUCUGAGCUGUCAGCACGGAGCCCGACGCAGGGCUCGAGCUCACAAAUCGCAAUGUCAUGACCUGAGCCAAAGUCGGACACUCAACUGACUGAGCCACCCGGGUGCCCCAGGGGAUACAGGCUGACACAUGUACCUGCAUCAGUAUUCAUGCUCAUCGCUGUACGUGUGCUGGUGCACGUGUGACACAUACACAGGACACAUAUAGGGCGCACAUCUUUUUUCCCUCCUGGAUAACGAAUUGUUGGAGAAGCUCAGACAGUAUCCUGCCUGGGCUGGACUGGCCCCAGAAUCAAGGGUCACCUGGGCUCAAGCCAGUUGCCAGAUGCCUCUUGGUAUUUUGCAGGCAGACCAUGUGGACUUUGGUGAGCUGGGUGGCCUUAGUGGCAGGGCUGGUAGCUGGAACACAGUGCCCAGAUGGUCAGUUCUGCCCUGUGGCCUGCUGCCUGGACCCAGGAGGAGUCGGCUAUAGCUGCUGCAGUCCUGUUCUGGUG